GGGCGGCGUGCCUAAUACAUGCAAGUCGAACGAACUCUGGUAUUGAUUGGUGCUUGCAUCAUGAUUUACAUUUGAGUGAGUGGCGAACUGGUGAGUAACACGUGGGAAACCUGCCCAGAAGCGGGGGAUAACACCUGGAAACAGAUGCUAAUACCGCAUAACAACUUGGACCGCAUGGUCCGAGUUUGAAAGAUGGCUUCGGCUAUCACUUUUGGAUGGUCCCGCGGCGUAUUAGCUAGAUGGUGGGGUAACGGCUCACCAUGGCAAUGAUACGUAGCCGACCUGAGAGGGUAAUCGGCCACAUUGGGACUGAGACACGGCCCAAACUCCUACGGGAGGCAGCAGUAGGGAAUCUUCCACAAUGGACGAAAGUCUGAUGGAGCAACGCCGCGUGAGUGAAGAAGGGUUUCGGCUCGUAAAACUCUGUUGUUAAAGAAGAACAUAUCUGAGAGUAACUGUUCAGGUAUUGACGGUAUUUAACCAGAAAGCCACGGCUAACUACGUGCCAGCAGCCGCGGUAAUACGUAGGUGGCAAGCGUUGUCCGGAUUUAUUGGGCGUAAAGCGAGCGCAGGCGGUUUUUUAAGUCUGAUGUGAAAGCCUUCGGCUCAACCGAAGAAGUGCAUCGGAAACUGGGAAACUUGAGUGCAGAAGAGGACAGUGGAACUCCAUGUGUAGCGGUGAAAUGCGUAGAUAUAUGGAAGAACACCAGUGGCGAAGGCGGCUGUCUGGUCUGUAACUGACGCUGAGGCUCGAAAGUAUGGGUAGCAAACAGGAUUAGAUACCCUGGUAGUCCAUACCGUAAACGAUGAAUGCUAAGUGUUGGAGGGUUUCCGCCCUUCAGUGCUGCAGCUAACGCAUUAAGCAUUCCGCCUGGGGAGUACGGCCGCAAGGCUGAAACUCAAAGGAAUUGACGGGGGCCCGCACAAGCGGUGGAGCAUGUGGUUUAAUUCGAAGCUACGCGAAGAACCUUACCAGGUCUUGACAUACUAUGCAAAUCUAAGAGAUUAGACGUUCCCUUCGGGGACAUGGAUACAGGUGGUGCAUGGUUGUCGUCAGCUCGUGUCGUGAGAUGUUGGGUUAAGUCCCGCAACGAGCGCAACCCUUAUUAUCAGUUGCCAGCAUUAAGUUGGGCACUCUGGUGAGACUGCCGGUGACAAACCGGAGGAAGGUGGGGAUGACGUCAAAUCAUCAUGCCCCUUAUGACCUGGGCUACACACGUGCUACAAUGGAUGGUACAACGAGUUGCGAACUCGCGAGAGUAAGCUAAUCUCUUAAAGCCAUUCUCAGUUCGGAUUGUAGGCUGCAACUCGCCUACAUGAAGUCGGAAUCGCUAGUAAUCGCGGAUCAGCAUGCCGCGGUGAAUACGUUCCCGGGCCUUGUACACACCGCCCGUCACACCAUGAGAGUUUGUAACACCCAAAGUCGGUGGGGUAACCUUUUAGGAACCAGCCGCCUAAGGUGGGACAGAUGAUUAGGGUGAAGUCGUAACAAGGUGGCUU
This 1500-nucleotide ribosomal RNA is filed under the name Lactiplantibacillus plantarum. RNAcentral describes it as "bacterial SSU rRNA". It matches the Rfam family "Bacterial small subunit ribosomal RNA". Lineage: Bacteria; Bacillati; Bacillota; Bacilli; Lactobacillales; Lactobacillaceae. The record is from RNAcentral.